This 497-nucleotide ribosomal RNA is filed under the name uncultured bacterium. Its description in RNAcentral is "partial 16S ribosomal RNA". It matches the Rfam family "Bacterial small subunit ribosomal RNA", at positions 28 to 507 of the family's 1533-position model. The record is from RNAcentral.
GAUGAACGCUGGCGGCGUGCCUAAUACAUGCAAGUCGAGCGAACGGACGAGAAGCUUGCUUCUCUGAUGUUAGCGGCGGACGGGUGAGUAACACGUGGAUCACCUACCUAUAAGACUGGGAUAACUUCGGGAAACCGUAGCUAAUACCGGAUAAUAUUUUGAACCGCAUGGUUCAAAAGUGAAAGACGGUCUUGCUGUCACUUAUAGAUGGAUCCGCGCUGCAUUAGCUAGUUGGUAAGGUAACGGCUUACCAAGGCAACGAUGCAUAGCCGACCUGAGAGGGUGAUCGGCCACACUGGAACUGAGACGCGGACCAGACUCCUACGGGAGGCAGCAGUAGGGAAUCUGCCGCAAUGGGCGAAAGCCUGACGGAGCAACGCCGCGUGAGUGAUGAAGGUCUUCGGAUCGUAAAACUCUGUUAUUAGGGAAGAACAUAUGUGUAAGUAACUGUGCACAUCUUGACGGUACCUAAUCAGAAAGCCACGGCUAACUACGUG